GCCAAACAGCUAGCUUAGACACAAGACUAACAUAAAUUUAUUAAUAAAAUUUAACUAACCUAAAACAUUAAACUAAAACAUUUUUUUGUUUGAGUACGGGAGACGGAAAAAACUAAGUAAAGCCAUAGAAAUAGUACCGCAAGGGAAAGCUGAAAGAGAAAUGAAAUAACCCAUACAAGCGCAAAUAAGCAAAGACUAAACCUUGUACCUUUUGCAUCAUGAUUUAGCAAGCACACUCAAGCAAAGAGACCUUUAGUUUGAAACCCCGAAACCAGGUGAGCUACCCCGAGACAGCCUAUAAGGGCGAACCCGUCUCUGUGGCAAAAGAGUGGGAAGAGCUCCGGGUAGAAGUGACAGACCUAACGAACCUGGUGAUAGCUGGUUGUCUAGGAAAUGGAUAUAAGUUCAGCCUCGUGCCCCUUUGAUCAAGAAGAAUUUCACCAAGACAAAAGAUAUACACGAGAGUUAGUUAAAGGAGGUACAGCUCAUUUAACCAAGGACACAACCUUUUCAGGAGAAUAAAGAUCACAAUAUUUUAAACCUACUGUUCUAGUGGGCCUAAAAGCAGCCACCUAAAUAGAAAGCGUUAAAGCUCAGACAGAAAAAAGUUCAUCAUUCUGAUAAACAAUCUGACUUCCCUAGAUGUACUAGACUUUCCCAUGCUAACAUGGGAGAAAUUAUGCUAGAAUGAGUAACAAGAAGACUUGCCCUUCUCCUAGCACAAGUGUGUGCCAGACCGGACUAACCACUGGCAAUUAACGAACUCAACCCGAGAGAGUAAUAUGAACUACAUAAAAAUCGAGAAGAGCCCAUAUUUAUUUUAUCGUCAACCCCACACCGGAGUGCUAAUUUAUAGGAAAGACUAAAAGGAAAGGAAGGAACUCGGCAAACGCAAGCCUCGCCUGUUUACCAAAAACAUCGCCUCCUGCAACCUCACCAAGUAUAGGAGGUCCAGCCUGCCCAGUGACUUCGAGUUCAACGGCCGCGGUAUUUUGACCGUGCAAAGGUAGCGCAAUCACUUGUCUCUUAAAUGGAGACCUGUAUGAAUGGCUAAACGAGGGCUUAACUGUCUUCCUUUCCCAGUCAGUGAAAUUGAUCUACCCGUGCAGAAGCGGGUAUAACUUCACAAGACGAGAAGACCCUAUGGAGCUUAAGGUAUAAAACCCAAUCACGUCAAGCAAAUCUAUUAAAAAGACAAACCCAGUGUUUUAUGGGAUUUUACCUUCGGUUGGGGCGACCGCGGAGGAAAGCAAAGCCUCCAAGUGGACUGGGAUAAACCCUUAAACCCAGAGAAAACCUCUCCAAGUCACAGAACAUCUGACCAAUAAUGAUCCGGCCUAAAGACCGAUCAACGGACCAAGUUACCCUAGGGAUAACAGCGCAAUCCUUUCCGAGAGUCCAUAUCGACGAAAGGGUUUACGACCUCGAUGUUGGAUCAGGACAUCCUAAUGGUGCAGCCGCUAUUAAGGGUUCGUUUGUUCAACGAUUAAAGUCCUACGUGAUCUGAGUUCAGACCGGAGCAAUCCAGGUCAGUUUCUAUCUGUAAUGCCACUUUUCCUAGUACGAAAGGAUCGGGAAAGAAGGGCCUAUGCUUUAAGUACGCCCCACCCCUAAUUUAUGAAGACAAAUAAAUAAAACAAAGGGGGGCUAAAAGCAGCACUCCUAUAUAAGGAGUA
RNAcentral lists this ribosomal RNA (1676 nucleotides) under Psilorhynchus sucatio (river stone carp). RNAcentral describes it as "16S rRNA". It matches the Rfam family "Bacterial large subunit ribosomal RNA". Lineage: Eukaryota; Metazoa; Chordata; Actinopteri; Cypriniformes; Psilorhynchidae. The record is from RNAcentral.